Molecule: unclassified non-coding RNA, 337 nt
Filed under: soil metagenome
Description: partial contains 5.8S ribosomal RNA, internal transcribed spacer 2, and large subunit ribosomal RNA
Rfam family: 5.8S ribosomal RNA (bases 1-120)
Source: RNAcentral
GAUGAAGAACGCAGCGAAAUGCGAUAAGUAGUGUGAAUUGCAGAAUUCAGUGAAUCAUCGAAUCUUUGAACGCACAUUGCGCCCCUUGGUAUUCCAUGGGGCAUGCCUGUUCGAGCGUCAUUUGUACCUUCAAGCUCUGCUUGGUGUUGGGUGUUUGUCUCGCCUCUGCGUGUAGACUCGCCUCAAAACAAUUGGCAGCCGGCGUAUUGAUUUCGGAGCGCAGUACAUCUCGCGCUUUGCACUCAUAACGACGACGUCCAAAAGUACAUUUUUACACGCUUGACCUCGGAUCAGGUAGGGAUACCCGCUGAACUUAAGCAUAUCAAUAAGCGGAGGA